This 480-nucleotide ribosomal RNA is filed under the name uncultured bacterium. RNAcentral's name for it is "partial 16S ribosomal RNA". It matches the Rfam family "Bacterial small subunit ribosomal RNA", at positions 28 to 507 of the family's 1533-position model. The record is from RNAcentral.
GACGAACGCUGGCGGCGUGCUUAACACAUGCAAGUCGAACGAUGAAGAAAAGAAUCCAAGCUUUUGCAGAAAUUCAUUUCGGAUUAGUGGCAGACUGGUGAGUAACGCGUGAGCAACCUACCUCUUACAAAGGGAUAGCCUCGGUAAACCGGGAUUAAUACCAUAUAACAUUGCGACGAAUCAUUUCGAUGCAAUCAAAGCUACGGCGGGAAGAGAUGGGGUCGAGUCGCAUUAACCGGAUGGUGAGGUAACGGCGCACCAUAGUUACGAUGGGUAAACGGGAUGAGAGAGUGAACGGUGACACUGGCACUGAGACACGGUCCAGAAUACUACAGGAGGCAGCCGAGGCGAAUAUUGCAAUAUCGAGGGAACUAUGAUGGAGCGACGCCUGGUGAGUCAUGAAGGAAGUAGUGUAGUAAAGCACUGUUAUAUGGGAAGAAACGGACUGUACCAAAGGAGAAAGCACCGGCUAAAUACGUG